CUCGCUUAGGGUGCGAGAGGUCCCGAGUUCAAUUCUCGAAAUGCCCCAAAUUCAAUUUUUCAUCUCUUUUAAUUUAUUAAAAGAAAAUAAAUCAAUUUAGUUCAAAAAUAAUAUUUUCUCCACAAUUUACACCAAAAAAAAUGUUUCAAAAUGCAAAAAAAAAAACUAAAACAAUCUAACAAGUCUAGGUAAAGAGGUCACACACAUAUCAUUCUUCUAAUUUGCACAAUAUGGUUAAAUUUGAUGUGUCACUUCCUUUGAGUCAUUCUUCUAAUUCUAUAGACUAAGGUUGGGAAUUGUGGUCAUUUUCCACCUCUUGGUUGACC
This 326-nucleotide long non-coding RNA is filed under the name Lathyrus oleraceus (garden pea). Its description in RNAcentral is "Pisum sativum (pea) long non-coding RNA (PSAT_LNC001984)". The record is from RNAcentral. Lineage: Eukaryota; Viridiplantae; Streptophyta; Magnoliopsida; Fabales; Fabaceae.